This 478-nucleotide ribosomal RNA is filed under the name uncultured bacterium. RNAcentral's name for it is "partial 16S ribosomal RNA". It matches the Rfam family "Bacterial small subunit ribosomal RNA", at positions 28 to 523 of the family's 1533-position model. The record is from RNAcentral.
GACGAACGCUGGCGGCAUGCCUAACACAUGCAAGUCGAGCGAGCAGAUCCCUUCGGGGUGAAGCUAGCGGCGGACGGGUGAGUAACACGUGGGCAACCUGCCUCAUAGAGGGGAAUAGCCUUCCGAAAGGAAGAUUAAUACCGCAUAAGAUUGUAGCUUCGCAUGAAGCAACAAUUAAAGGAGCAAUCCGCUAUGAGAUGGGCCCGCGGCGCAUUAGCUAGUUGGUGAGGUAACGGCUCACCAAGGCGACGAUGCGUAGCCGACCUGAGAGGGUGAUCAGCCACAUUGGGACUGAGACACGGCCCAGACUCCUACGGGAGGCAGCAGUGGGGAAUAUUGCACAAUGGGGGAAACCCUGAUGCAGCAAUGCCGCGUGAGUGAUGACGGCCUUCGGGUUGUAAAGCUCUGUCUUCGGGGACGAUAAUGACGGUACCCGAGGAGGAAGCCACGGCUAACUACGUGCCAGCCGCCGCAGUAA